This 768-nucleotide ribosomal RNA is filed under the name Strongylogaster empriaeformis. Its description in RNAcentral is "SSU rRNA". It matches the Rfam family "Eukaryotic small subunit ribosomal RNA", at positions 594 to 1323 of the family's 1831-position model. The record is from RNAcentral. Lineage: Eukaryota; Metazoa; Arthropoda; Insecta; Hymenoptera; Tenthredinidae.
AUAGCGUAUAUUAAAGUUGUUGCGGUUAAAAAGCUCGUAGUUGAAUCUGUGUCCCACGCUGUCGGUUCGCCGCUCGCGGUGUUUAACUGGCAUGAUUGUGGGACGUCCUACCGGUGGGCUUAGCCUCUCGGGGCGGCCCAACUAAUAUCCCAUCGCGGUGCUCUUCACUGAGUGUCGAGGUGGGCCGGUACGUUUACUUUGAACAAAUUAGAGUGCUUAAAGCAGGCUAUUUUCGCCUGAAUACUGUGUGCAUGGAAUAAUGGAAUAGGACCUCGGUUCUAUUUUGUUGGUUUUCGGAACCCCGAGGUAAUGAUUAAUAGGGACAGAUGGGGGCAUUCGUAUUGCGACGUUAGAGGUGAAAUUCUUGGAUCGUCGCAAGACGGACAGAAGCGAAAGCAUUUGCCAAAAAUGUUUUCUUUAAUCAAGAACGAAAGUUAGAGGUUCGAAGGCGAUCAGAUACCGCCCUAGUUCUAACCAUAAACGAUGCCAGCUAGCGAUCCGCCGAAGUUCCUCCGAUGACUCGGCGGGCAGCUUCCGGGAAACCAAAGCUUUUGGGUUCCGGGGGAAGUAUGGUUGCAAAGCUGAAACUUAAAGGAAUUGACGGAAGGGCACCACCAGGAGUGGAGCCUGCGGCUUAAUUUGACUCAACACGGGAAACCUCACCAGGCCCGGACACCGGAAGGAUUGACAGAUUGAGAGCUCUUUCUUGAUUCGGUGGGUGGUGGUGCAUGGCCGUUCUUAGUUGGUGGAGCGAUUUGUCUGGUUAAU